CCUACGGGCGGCAGCAGUGAGGAAUAUUGGUCAAUGGGCGCGAGCCUGAACCAGCCAAGUAGCGUGAAGGAUGACUGCCCUACGGGUUGUAACCUUCUUUUAUAAAGGAAUAAAGUGAGGCACGUGUGCCUUUUUGUAUGUAAUUUAUGAAUAAGGAUCGGCUAACUCCGUUCCAGCAGCCGCGGUAAUAAGGAGGAUCCGAGCGUUAUUCGGGUUUAUUGGGUUUAAAGGGAGCGUAGAUGGGUUGGUAAGUCAGUUGUGAAAGUUUGCGGCUCAACCGUAAAAUUGCAAUUGAUACUGGCAGUCUUGAGUACAGUUGAGGUAGGCGGAAUUCGUGGUGUAGCGGUGAAAUGCUUAGAUAUCACGAAGAACUCCGAUUGCGAAGGCAGCUUACUAAACUGCCACUGACAUUGAUGCUCGAAAGUGUGGGUAUCAAACAGGAUUAGAUACCCGAGUAGUC
Molecule: ribosomal RNA, 460 nt
Filed under: uncultured bacterium
Lineage: Bacteria
Description: partial 16S ribosomal RNA
Rfam family: Bacterial small subunit ribosomal RNA
Source: RNAcentral